RNAcentral lists this ribosomal RNA (688 nucleotides) under uncultured Bacteroidales bacterium. RNAcentral describes it as "bacterial SSU rRNA". It matches the Rfam family "Bacterial small subunit ribosomal RNA", at positions 34 to 715 of the family's 1533-position model. Lineage: Bacteria; Pseudomonadati; Bacteroidota; Bacteroidia; Bacteroidales. The record is from RNAcentral.
CGCUAGCUACAGGCUUAACACAUGCAAGUCGAGGGGCAGCGCAGUGUAGCAAUACAUGGGCGGCGACCGGCGCACGGGUGCGUAACGCGUAUCCAACCUUCCCGUUACUCAGGGAUAGCCUUCCGAAAGGGAGAUUAAUACCUGAUGGUGUUUGAAUUCCGCAUGUUAUUCGAACUAAAGAUUCAUCGGUGACGGAUGGGGAUGCGUGACAUUAGGUAGAUGGCGGGGUAACGGCCCACCAUGCCCACGAUGUCUAGGGGUUCUGAGAGGAAGGUCCCCCACACUGGAACUGAGACACGGUCCAGACUCCUACGGGAGGCAGCAGUGAGGAAUAUUGGUCAAUGGUCGGAAGACUGAACCAGCCAAGUAGCGUGAAGGAUGAAGGUUCUAUGGAUUGUAAACUUCUUUUAUACGGGAAUAAAACCUCCCACGUGUGGGAGCUUGUAUGUACCGUAUGAAUAAGCAUCGGCUAACUCCGUGCCAGCAGCCGCGGUAAUACGGAGGAUGCGAGCGUUAUCCGGAUUUAUUGGGUUUAAAGGGAGCGUAGACGGGGGAUUAAGUCAGUUGUGAAAGGCUGCGGCUCAACCGCAGCACUGCAGUUGAUACUGGUUUCCUUGAGUGCGGUUGAGGUGUAUGGAAUUCGUGGUGUAGCGGUGAAAUGCUUAGAUAUCACGAAGAACUCCGAUUG